Molecule: ribosomal RNA, 345 nt
Filed under: uncultured bacterium
Lineage: Bacteria
Description: bacterial SSU rRNA
Rfam family: Bacterial small subunit ribosomal RNA
Source: RNAcentral
GUGAGUAGUUCAGAGUUUGAUCCUGGCUCAGGACGAACGCUGGCGGCGUGCCUAACACAUGCAAGUCGAGCGGAGACAGUUUUGGAGCUUGCUUCGAACUGUUUUAGCGGCGGACGGGUGAGUAACGCGUGAGCAACCUUUCUCUUACUGGGGAAUAACACCGGGAAACUGGUACUAAUACCGCAUGAGACCACAAUGUCGCAUGGCAUAGGGGUCAAAGAUUUAUCGGUAAGAGGUGGGCUCGCGUCUGAUUAGAUAGUUGGUGGGGUAACGGCCUACCAAGUCGACGAUCAGUAGCCGACCUGAGAGGGUGAUCGGCCACAUUGGGACUGAGACACGGCCCAA